CCUACGGGAGGCAGCAGUGAGGAAUAUUGGUCAAUGGACGAGAGUCUGAACCAGCCAAGUAGCGUGAAGGAUGACUGCCCUAUGGGUUGUAAACUUCUUUUAUAUGGGAAUAAAAUGUUCCACGUGUGGGAUUUUGUAUGUACCAUAUGAAUAAGGAUCGGCUAACCCCGUGCCAGCAGCCGCGGUAAUACGGAGGAUCCGAGCGUUAUCCGGAUUUAUUGGGUUUAAAGGGAGCGUAGGUGGAUUGUUAAGUCAGUUGUGAAAGUUUGCGGCUCAACCGUAAAAUUGCAGUUGAAACUGGCAGUCUUGAGUACAGUAGAGGUGGGCGGAAUUCGUGGUGUAGCGGUGAAAUGCUUAGAUAUCACGAAGAACUCCGAUUGCGAAGGCAGUUCACUGGACUGCAACUGACACUGAGGCUCGAAAGUGUGGGUAUCAAACAGGAUUAGAUACCCCAGUAGUC
Molecule: ribosomal RNA, 460 nt
Filed under: uncultured bacterium
Lineage: Bacteria
Description: partial 16S ribosomal RNA
Rfam family: Bacterial small subunit ribosomal RNA
Source: RNAcentral